RNAcentral lists this long non-coding RNA (4534 nucleotides) under Brassica rapa (field mustard). Its description in RNAcentral is "long non-coding RNA (BRAP_LNC002350)". Lineage: Eukaryota; Viridiplantae; Streptophyta; Magnoliopsida; Brassicales; Brassicaceae. The record is from RNAcentral.
GGUUUUGGUGAAGUCUAUAGAGGAAAACUUCCUCAAGGGAGAGAAAUAGCAGUGAAGAGAGUUUCCCACAACGGUGAUGAAGGUGUGAAGCAGUUUGUGGCUGAGGUUGUCAGCAUGAGGUGUCUGAAACACAGGAAUCUUGUUCCGCUUUUCGGGUAUUGCAGGAGAAAGCGAGAGCUUCUUUUGGUCUCGGAGUACAUGCCCAACGGUAGUCUUGACGAGCAUUUGACCCGAGGCUGGGAGAUGAGUUUUCACCAGAGGAAGUGGAGAUGGUUAUGAAACUCGGUUUGCUAUGUUCAAAUAUAGUGCCGGAGUCCAGACCAACGAUGGAGCAAGUGGUCUUGUACCUAAAUGAAAACAUGCCUUUGCCUGAUUUUUCACCGUAUACUUUGGGGAUCGGCACAUUUGCUCCGGUUCUGGUUGAUGCAGCUUCUCUUGUUGUCUCAUCCGCUUCAUGGAGUUGGUCAGCUUCUUCUUCGGUCAACCACUCACCUUACGCUUAUCAGGGAACAGAUCAGCCAUGGGGACAGACGGUAGAGACAAAGAACUCUCUUCACAUAGUUUCAGAACUAGAGAAGCCUAAGACUCAGACGUGAGAUGGUUAGUGUGGUAAUCAUUCACUGCUAUUUCUCUCCCUUGAGGAAGUUUUCCUCUAUAGACUUCACCAAAUCACGGGCAAAGCGAUACACAAAACUUUUAUAUGAUUGCAGAUGAUUCACAAAGCCAAAUGGGUUUUCAGAAACAGAAUCAAAUUCAAAAACAAAUCAAAUUCAAAAACAAAUCAAAUUGAAAAACGGAAGGAGAAGAGAGACGUUAUCUCGUCUGGGAGUGCGACGGGAUUGCUCCAGCGAAGGAGAAGAGAGACGUUCCGAGAUUGACGAGGCGACGGGAUUGCUCCGGCAAAGGAGUGCAGCUCAGGUUCAGAGAUAUCGCGAUCUCGUCUGGGAUUUCUCCGGUGAAGCCAUUGUCGAGUUGGGAGAAAUAAAAAAACUGAAAACCCUUAAGAAACCAAACGACAACGUUUAAAAUAAAAAAAAAACAUUAGUGGGUUAAACGGGUUCCCGUUUAUUUUAGCAAAAACCCAUUUAAUAAAUGGGUCUCAAGUGGGUUACCCAUUUAAAACCCGACUAGCUUAAUGGGUCUAAAUGGGCAUUUAUUUUUUUCAGAACCCAUUAAAAGCCCGCAAACCUAAACCCAUAUUAACAUCCCUAAGAGCAACCCUCAGUGAGCCUAGCUUUACCACCAGUUUGAGAGUGGCUGAACACAAUUGUUCUGCAGAUGAACACAAAAAGCAAUGUAAUAUAAGCAAACACAAUCAAUAUAAGCAAGAGAUUCUAACAUCAGUCAAUAUAAACAAGAGAUCCUAAGCAGUGUAAGUAUGUAACCAUUGUUCUCAGCCCCUUCACUGUCACAUUCUCACACCAGCAUUUUUUUAAAGACAAUGACAAUGACAAUAACCCAUACACAAGUAACAAGUUUCUCUAAGAUAAGAACCAAUGAUAUUACCUCAAAUGUUCAACGUACAUUUGAAUCUUCUGAUCUUGAACCCUCGACUCCAAAAGUACUUGUAGUCUUCCUAGCAUCUUCGUUGCAAAUAUCAUCAACAUCUUCUAUUGUACCUUCAUACUCUGCAAAUCCUCGCAACCAGUUACGAGUACAGAGUAAAGCCUGGACAUUCUUGGGAAGCAAGCGACUUCGGUAUGGAGUUAACACCCGAGCUCCAAUACUGAAAGCUGAUUCAGAUGCUACUGUGGUGAUAGGGAUACUCAGUAUAUCACGUGCCAUCAUCGCCAAAUCACCAAAUCGAGCUUGGUUUUCCCUCCAAUAGCUUAAUACAUCCAAAUUGCGAAAAUACCUUCUAUCUAACCUCUUCUCAUCCAGAUACACAUCUAAAUGUGUUCUUGUGUUUCCUACAUUACUCCCAAGGCUUCUUUCCAAUUCAAAGAGAUCCUGUAAUAUAUUACAUUGUCUAAAUCAUCUUCAAAGUAAAUGCAAAAUUAAGAGUAAAGAUGCUUGAAACUUACAUUGUCAAAAUCAUCUUCAAGAGGUGAUUCAGUAACUAGAUCAUGUGGAGUUGGUGUAGAUGAAGUGCCAGAAGAACUGCCCCAAGUCCUAGCUUGAUACUCUUUAUAAAGUUUAGUCAAAUUAGUCCUAAGCUCUUCAGUUUUUAAACUAGAAGUAGAAGGAUCCACUCUCUCAUAAGCUUUCUCAAGAACUUCCAACUUCAGCCUCGGAUCUAAAAUUGCCCCCAUAGCCAAAAUGAUGCUGUAAUCCUCCCAGUACUUAGCAAAUUUAAUUUGCAUUUCCUUAGCCAUCUGCUUCAAAUCAAAAUCAUCACAGCUCGCAAAAUGCUUCAGCAAUAACUCAAUCCUCCAAACUUCUGUGAAGUACACACUAGAUGUUGGGUACUUUGACCCUGAGAAGAGAGUAGUGAUUUGAUUGAAAGGUUUCAGCAACUCACUUAUUUUUUGCCCACGAUCCCACUCUCUUUCAGAAGGUAGCCAUCUGUAGUGUCUGUCAAAAGCCUCCAAGCUUUUAAAUGCUUCCCUAAACUUUAACGCUCUAACGAGCAUUUCAUAAGUAGAGUUCCACCUGGUAGCAACGUCAAGUGAUAAACCAGAUCCACCAGGAAUCCCCACUCGCUCUACACAUGCCGCAAAGGCUUGAAUUCUUGUCUGAGAUGCUUUCACAUACCUCACACUUUCCCUGAUGUUGUGCAAGAGAUCUUUCGCUAAUUCCAAGCCUUCUUUCACGAUCAAGUUCAGGAUGUGCGCACAACAUCUCACAUGUAAAUACUUACCAUCCAACAAUAAGCCAUAACCACUCAUCAUCUGAAGCUGUCCCUUGAGGAUCCUCUGCAUACUGUCGUUAUUAUUAGCAUUGUCUAAGGUAAUAGAGAAUACCUUCUUCUCUAAACCCCAUUCCAUCAUACACUCCAUAAUCUUGUUAGCAAUCUCUUCUCCUGUGUGUGGAGGCUUCAAAUCGCAGAAAGCAAGAAUCUUACUCUGCAAGUUCCAGCCAUCAUCUAUGAAGUGGGCAGUAAGACAUAUGUAUCCCAUGCUAUUAGGACGAGAUGUCCAAAGAUCAGAAGUAAAGCAAACCCGAGCAGUAUGUCUAGCAAACACUUUCUUCAGCUCUUCCUUUUCUACUUCAUACCUCUUAUAAACAUCUGCUGCAGCCGUUUGUCUAUAAAUGGGCUGACACUCUGGAUUCAGAUACUUGUCUCGUUGUCUAACCUUCUCGUAUUCUACGUAUCUGAACGGAAGAUCAUGAUAAAUGAUUACCUCACUAACCAUCUCACGAUCUCUCUUGUGAUCAUAUGCAUCCUUAGCUUCCUUUGGAGGCUUCUUUGGACAAGUUUCCAAGUGGCGUUGUAGAUGAUGAGUUCCACAGCUCACAUUCUUUUCAUUACGUGUCAAUACAACAAUGCAAGCAUCUGGCCCUUUCUUUGCCAUCAUUUUCUAUCCCCACUGAUACAAAAUCUUCCCAAACCCAUGAUGUUUUACGUCUCUUGCGUUGAGCUUGAGCUGAUUCCCCAGAAUGAGUUUCACUUUGCUGUUCUUCUAGUUGUGUAGCUUCCAAAUUUAUCUCAGCCAGAGCAUCUUCUUCAUUCAUGUCUAUAAACUCAUCCAUCCUGUAAUUAAAAGCAUAUAAAAUUAUAAAUCCUUUGGUUUGUCAUUGUCAUUGUCUUUAAAAUCGGAUCAUCACAAGGAGUCAAGCCAAUAGCAAGUAAUAUGUUUACAGUUCAAUAAAAAUAUUAACUGCAUAAGCCAUUAAUGACAGAGGGAAAGUUGGAGAGAGCGUAUUUUAGAGAACUGAAUGAAGAUGUAUAAAUUGAAUAACUUCACCAUCUUCUUCACGUAUUACGGAAAGUUGGAAACCAAAGGAGUAUCUUGCAUUUACCUCCAAUUAUAAACCAAAGAACUCUAUAAACAUAAAGUAGGUUUUGGUGAAGUCUAUAGAGGAAAACUUCCUCAAGGGAGAGAAAUAGCAGUGAAGAGAGUUUCCCACAACGGUGAUGAAGGUGUGAAGCAGUUUGUGGCUGAGGUUGUCAGCAUGAGGUGUCUGAAACACAGGAAUCUUGUUCCGCUUUUCAGGUAUUGCAGGAGAAAGCGAGAGCUUCUUUUGGUCUCGGAGUACAUGCCCAACGGUAGUCUUGACGAGCAUUUGACCCGAGGCUGGGAGAUGAGUUUUCACCAGAGGAAGUGGAGAUGGUUAUGAAACUCGGUUUGCUAUGUUCAAAUAUAGUGCCGGUGUCCAGACCAACGAUGGAGCAAGUGGUCUUGUACCUAAAUGAAAACAUGCCUUUGCCUGAUUUUUCACCGUAUACUUUGGGGAUCGGCACAUUUGCUCCGGUUCUGGUUGAUGCAGCUUCUCUUGUUGUCUCAUCCGCUUCAUGGAGUUGGUCAGCUUCUUCUUCGGCCAACCACUCACCUUACGCUUAUCAGGGAACAGAUCAGCCAUGGGGACAGACGGUAGAGACGAAGAACUCUCUUCACAUAGUUUCAGAACUAGAGAAGCCUAAGACUCAGAC